AGGCCAUUGUUAUUUAGCCAAGGAUGACUUGCCGGCAGCUUUGUAUCUAACUUCACUCCUUUUGUAUUAUUAUGGAGAUUAUAUAUUCAUUAUUUAUAAGAACCAUAUAUCUGUAUAGUUUUAGUUUAUAUGUAUGCUACUUCAUAAAAUAAAAGAAAGUAUUUUACACAUCUAUAUGAGUGUUGGUGGUGGGAUGUGACAAUUGAAGCGAGCCCGGCAAGUUAUCUCUGGCUAUGCAACUGCCUCU
Arabis alpina (gray rockcress) is the source of this 247-nucleotide non-coding RNA. Lineage: Eukaryota; Viridiplantae; Streptophyta; Magnoliopsida; Brassicales; Brassicaceae. The record is from Rfam.